GGGGAAUAUUGCGCAAUGGGGGAAACCCUGACGCAGCAACGCCGCGUGAGUGAAGAAGGUUUUCGGAUCGUAAAACUCUGUCUUUGGGGAAGAAUACAUGACGGUACCCAAGGAGGAAGCCCCGGCUAACUACGUGCCAGCAGCCGCGGUAAUACGUAGGGGGCAAGCGUUGUCCGGAAUUAUUGGGCGUAAAGGGCGUGUAGGCGGUAUCGUAAGUCAGGUGUGAAAGUUUGAGGCUUAACCUCAAAAUUGCACUUGAAACUGCAAUACUUGAGUACUGGAGAGGUAAGUGGAAUUCCUAGUGUAGCGGUGAAAUGCGUAGAUAUUAGGAGGAACACCAGUGGCGAAGGCGACUUACUGGACAGUUACUGACGCUGAGGCGCGAAAGCGUGGGGAGCAAAC
Molecule: ribosomal RNA, 402 nt
Filed under: uncultured bacterium
Lineage: Bacteria
Description: bacterial SSU rRNA
Rfam family: Bacterial small subunit ribosomal RNA
Source: RNAcentral